GGGAGACCAGCCUUGGACUAGUGGAAAUAGGUUAUGGUCAACAAAAAGGAGCUGGGAGAAUGUUCUAGUUUGCCUGGGGUAGGUCAUUUGAGAAGUUAGGAGGAAGGAGUCAUGAGCUAUGGGAUAUGGAAGGGAAAUGAAACUGUUAGAUAAGUGGGCCAACUAAAAUUCCCUCAGGAAAAAAAAGUCACUACAAUCUGAAUCACUAAAGAGUUUUAGGUAAGACGCUAAAACAGAAGCAGAAUCUGGGCUCCAUUCAGCAAAUAUUUAUCAUGUGUUUGCUAUCAGCAGGGCACCGGACUUGCUGUUGGAGGACAAAGGUGAGUAAGAAAUGAUCUGCCCUGGAGGAUCUUAGUCUGGUCAGAGAUGAGCUGUGAAUGGCUUAUUUCAAAUGCUGUGCUAAGUGCUGCACUAAAGCUGUUCCCAGGGCACCAGGGAAGCACAGAGGGGGAGCACCCAAGUUGACUUUGAGAAGAAUUGAGGAGGAGGUGUCGCUGUGACAGAGCACAGGUGGAGGAUCCUCGGUGGAAUCUAGUAUAAAAGAAGACUGGAAGUGAAUCAGCUUCAUUCCAGCCACCAGUAGUUGCACUGACAGAGAACUGGAGUUUUAUGGCUAGUUCUGGCUCCAUCCUGUCCUGGAGGUUCCGUCACCACAAGCAAGUAAGGGAACCUCACGCAACUUCUGCUUCGUCAUCUGCAGGUCAUCAUUACCUGUGAUGUCUGCCCCAGAGGAGGGCUGUGAGGAUCACUCUGGAGGUGGACAGGAGGGACCCGGAGCACUGUGCUCCAGGUGGACCGCAAUGUUCUGGACAUGGCUCUCCAUCCAUGUUCUCUGCUCAGCGGUGUUUUUGGAGCGUGGGGAAAUAGUGGAGCUCUGCCCAAGAAUCCCCCCAUUACCACGAAUGCUAACGGAGCAGACACUCAAGACCAGCAGAGAUGACUCAGCAUUUCUGAGGAGCCCUAUCAGGAGAAAAGUAGUGAGCUGCAGACAUAAAUUUGAAUUCCAGAGUCUCCGACUAACCCAACUCAUAAAUGAAUUCCUAAAUGCUGACUGA
Molecule: long non-coding RNA, 1055 nt
Organism: Bos indicus x Bos taurus (hybrid cattle)
Lineage: Eukaryota; Metazoa; Chordata; Mammalia; Artiodactyla; Bovidae
Source: Ensembl